GGUAGAUUUUUUGUUAGUUUUCUAAACUGAUUUUGAGGUUGUUCUCGUCUAUUU
Molecule: transfer RNA, 54 nt
Filed under: Onchocerca lupi
Lineage: Eukaryota; Metazoa; Nematoda; Chromadorea; Rhabditida; Onchocercidae
Description: tRNA-Ser
Source: RNAcentral